AAAUGAUGGCAAUAAUUUUUGGAACUAAUCUGAAAUGAAGAGAAUACUCAUUUCUGAUCAUUU
Molecule: small nucleolar RNA, 63 nt
Filed under: Carlito syrichta (Philippine tarsier)
Lineage: Eukaryota; Metazoa; Chordata; Mammalia; Primates; Tarsiidae
Description: Small nucleolar RNA SNORD2 (ENSTSYG00000022326.2)
Rfam family: Small nucleolar RNA SNORD2
Source: RNAcentral